Molecule: ribosomal RNA, 468 nt
Filed under: uncultured bacterium
Lineage: Bacteria
Description: partial 16S ribosomal RNA
Rfam family: Bacterial small subunit ribosomal RNA
Source: RNAcentral
GACGAACGCUGGCGGCGUGCUUAACACAUGCAAGUCGAACGGAAAGGCCCUGCUUUUGUGGGGUGCUCGAGUGGCGAACGGGUGAGUAACACGUGAGUAACCUGCCCUUGACUUUGGGAUAACUUCAGGAAACUGGGGCUAAUACCGGAUAGGAGCUCCUGCUGCAUGGUGGGGGUUGGAAAGUUUCGGCGGUUGGGGAUGGACUCGCGGCUUAUCAGCUUGUUGGUGGGGUAGUGGCUUACCAAGGCUUUGACGGGUAGCCGGCCUGAGAGGGUGACCGGACAAAUUGGGACUGAGAGACGGCCCAGACUCCUACGGGAGGCAGCAGUGGGGAAUAUUGCACAAUGGGCGGAAGCCUGAUGAAGCAACGCCGCGUGCGGGAUGACGGCCUUCGGGUUGUAAACCGCUUUCGCCUGUGACGAAGCGUGAGUGACGGUAAUGGGUAAAGAAGCACCGGCUAACUACGUG